This 1503-nucleotide long non-coding RNA is filed under the name Macaca mulatta (Rhesus monkey). RNAcentral's name for it is "lncRNA (ENSMMUG00000055092.1)". Lineage: Eukaryota; Metazoa; Chordata; Mammalia; Primates; Cercopithecidae. The record is from RNAcentral.
AAUGUUUGUUGGAUAAAUAAUUGGGUACAGUCUACAUGAUCUUGUGUAUGACAUCAUUCAUGUCAAUUUUUUUCCCAGUAAAUUUCAUGGGACAAACAGUCUAUACCUCUGUGGCUUCGUAUGAAUCAUCCUGUGAUUUAGAAAACACUCAAGGUAUUACUUUUGUUUAAAUAAAUAACAAAAGAAAGUUGUCCUGGAAUUUUGAACAGUAGAACUAUAAUGUGAAAACAAGUGAAACUCAUUUGGUAAUAAAUUACCACUUGGAGUAGUGGUCCCAGUUACACUGUUCUUGACAUGGCUUCAAAAACAGAGUCAGGGCUGGAUUCUAUUUGAAGAGUAAUUUUUUAAAAAGAAGAUCCCCCCAAGUUGCUGGGAUCAUAUGGUACGAUUUAGUACAACAAAGGGCUUAGACAAGUGAACAUGGCCCCCAGAAGGGGACAGACAAGCUAAGCAGGUGUGGUGUGAGGGUGAGGUCACAGUGGAGUUGGGGUUGUAAUUUCCUGGAAGAAGUGGGUUUUAAUCCACUGGUUCCACUUCUGCUCUUAACCUAAUUGCUGGGCACAACGUCCUGAAACUGACACCUAGCACACCAUCCGUCUGCCAAUUUGGGUUUAGGAUAAGAGUACUAUGGGAGCCUUGAGCCACCAUGUGAGGAAGUCGGACUACCUUGCUGAAGACGGGGCCCGGCCAACCCCCUGCCAUUCCAGCCUUCCUAGCCAAGGCACCAGACAUGGGAGUGUGAAGCUGUCUUGGAUCCUCCAGUCCCAAUCAUGAUCCCUCCUAACAACACUUGGAAAGAGAUGACCUGUCUCUCACAUACCCUUUUCACAUUUCACCAUCGUGAGUAAUUGGUUGUUGUUUUGAGCCAGUACGAUUUGGAACCUUUUGUCACAUGGCAAGGCAUACCUGAAACAAGGGAUAGUACUGAUCUACAUUAGUGUCUGAGAUCUCUUCCUGUGUGGUCUCUUCUUUGGAUCAGGAUGGGCUGGGGACAUUCUUGAGUGCCCAUCUCUCCCCGUUGUUCAUGACAGUCACUGCUAGUUGAUUACAGCUCUCUUUCCCAUUCAGCCCGAUACUGCCUUAAACCUCACCACAGAGCUCUAGACAACCACUGCUAAGCCACUGAAAGAGGUCCUUGCCAUUGUAGAAUUAACCAUCAUGUUCCCAGAGUGUUUGUCAAUGAAAGGAGGAGGUUGGUAUACCCUAGUUAUACAUUAGCACCCCCUAUAAUCAUGGAAUGUAAAAGAUGAUGGAACUUCAGAGAUCAUCUCACCAAUGGCCUGAACCCUGGCUGCAGAUUAAAAUUACCUGGGCUGCUUUAAAAAUUGAACCAAUGCCUGGGCCUCACCCCCAGAGAUUCAGACUCAACUGGGCCUCAGUAUUUUAAAAUACAUAUAUUCUUUAGUGAUGAAGACAUUUGACUUCACAGGUUGAGGCCUGAAGGCCCAGAUCGCAAGUAGCUGAAUCACUUGCUACAGAGACCAGUUUGGUUGAGGGAUUAUU